This 468-nucleotide ribosomal RNA is filed under the name uncultured bacterium. RNAcentral describes it as "partial 16S ribosomal RNA". It matches the Rfam family "Bacterial small subunit ribosomal RNA", at positions 28 to 507 of the family's 1533-position model. The record is from RNAcentral.
GACGAACGCUGGCGGCGUGCUUAACACAUGCAAGUCGAACGGAAAGGCCCUGCUUUUGUGGGGUGCUCGAGUGGCGAACGGGUGAGUAACACGUGAGUAACCUGCCCUUGACUUUGGGAUAACUUCAGGAAACUGGGGCUAAUACCGGAUAGGAGCUCCUGCUGCAUGGUGGGGGUUGGAAAGUUUCGGCGGUUGGGGAUGGACUCGCGGCUUAUCAGCUUGUUGGUGGGGUAGUGGCUUACCAAGGCUUUGACGGGUAGCCGGCCUGGGAGGGUGACCGGCGACAUUGGGACUGAGAUAGGGCCCAGAAUCCUACGGGAGGCAGCAGUGGGGAAUAUUGCACAAUGGGCGGAAGCCUGAUGCAGCAACGCCGCGUGCGGGAUGACGGCCUUCGGGUUGUAAACCGCUUUCGCCUGUGACGAAGCGGGAGUGACGGUAAUGGGUAAAGAAGCACCGGCUAACUACGUG